RNAcentral lists this transfer RNA (73 nucleotides) under Blastopirellula marina. Its description in RNAcentral is "tRNA-Ala". It matches the Rfam family "tRNA". From Rfam's summary of the family: Transfer RNA (tRNA) molecules are approximately 80 nucleotides in length. Their secondary structure includes four short double-helical elements and three loops (D, anti-codon, and T loops). The record is from RNAcentral. Lineage: Bacteria; Pseudomonadati; Planctomycetota; Planctomycetia; Pirellulales; Pirellulaceae. RNAcentral also lists the same sequence under 11 other names.
GGGGGAUUAGCUCAGCUGGGAGAGCGCUUGCAUGGCAUGCAAGAGGUCAUCGGUUCGAUCCCGUUAUCCUCCA